ACGGGGGGUGCAAGCGUUGUUCGGAAUUAUUGGGCGUAAAGAGCGUGUAGGCGGCUGAAUAAGUCAGAUGUGAAAUCCCUGGGCUUAACCAAGGAAGUGCAUUUGAAACUAUUCAGCUUGAGUAGGGGAGAGGAAAGUGGAAUCCCUGGUGUAGAGGUGUAAUUCGUAGAUAUCAGGAGGAACACCGGUGGCGAAGGCGACUUUCUGGCCCUCUACUGGCUCUGAGACGCGAGAGCGUUGGUAGCAAACAG
Molecule: ribosomal RNA, 251 nt
Filed under: uncultured prokaryote
Description: partial 16S rRNA
Rfam family: Bacterial small subunit ribosomal RNA
Source: RNAcentral